RNAcentral lists this long non-coding RNA (6295 nucleotides) under Sus scrofa (pig). RNAcentral describes it as "lncRNA (ENSSSCG00000060839.1)". Lineage: Eukaryota; Metazoa; Chordata; Mammalia; Artiodactyla; Suidae. The record is from RNAcentral.
ACUGCUGGAUCUUUGGUUUUGUCUGUCACUCAGGGAGAGAAGAGCUGUCAUUUAGUUUGGCCCUACUCCAUUCCUUAUUCUCCUAAAAGAGUCACUCAAACCUCCAGGGAGUACCCUCUAAAGAGCAUCAGGUAAGUUUACACUGGAGGCCACAGGUAUUUGUGUACUCACACCUGGGGGGUAAGAGGCAGACAAAGUCACCUUUCCUCUUCCUAGAAGUGUCCCACCUUCACCCACCCCAGCUUCAGAGCUUCCAACCACUUAGUUAUCUAAUCUUAAGAAGCAUUAAUGAGACCUGCUAAGCUCCCAUGACUGGGGACGAGGGACAUCCGCUGGCCUGAAAGGUCUGGGUCUCUAGGAUGCUACAUCUGCUUGUAUAUGUUCUGAUCUGGGAGGGUGAAUUAAGCUGGAGAUCUCUGUUCCCUCAGUAGCAUUUGGAGACCCUCCCAUCCUCUUGCUCGGUUUCGAUUUGAUGACGACUGAAGGGAAGAUAUGAUAAAUGGCUUCAAACCAUCUUGUUCCUCCGAAUAAAACAAGUUCUUCUUACUUGCUUUUCCAUAUUGUUCAGAAUUGGGAAAUGGACAAGUGAGAAAAACUAAAACUAAGCUGAAGAAAACAGAAAGGCUGAGUUAAUCUCCAUAUUAAAAAAACUGAGCCUUAAAAGAGAGGGGAAGAGAAAUGAGAGUGAAUAAACAACACUGAGUGCCUGGUGUUGGUACAGUUUCUAUGCAGUUUUGGAAGGGAAGGAAAGAGAUGUUUUGAAGAGGUUGAUUUCUGUUACUGGUACCUGUAUCAAUCUAGCUAGCUGUCUGUAUUCAGAUAGGGUCUUUAGAAAUAUAAUUUUAAGAAAUUUUGCUCUGAGUGUUAAGGGGACCUCUCCUUGGCAAGUGACCUAAAUUAAAAUAUGUAAUUGCUUUUUGAAUUACUUCUUCAAAUCUGAUAGCUCUCUUAAACCAGGCCACAAAACUGUCCAGUUAUGGGCAGAUUUCAAAAAAAGGUUACAUUUCAAAUGCAAUGUGGAGGCUUCUAAAGUUGGCCUAAUAUACUUUAGCUACAGAUAUAUGGAAACCUAUCAACACAUUAGUGUUUAUCUAUGUAAAAUGCAUCCUUACAAUAUUGAAAUGUAGGCUUGCUCCUUGGUUCUUAACAAGCCUAAAGAGAGAUGCAUUAAAUAAUCAGUUCACAAAAUAGUUCCAUUCCAGGCAGCAAAGAAUCAGGCAAAAAGGCUGGGGCCUGGUCUCUCAACACUUAUGGGCAUGUGACAAGGCAAUGCCACCAAGCAUGGAAAAGAAGAUCCUGAGUGGGGUCCCAGGGGCCUCAGGGCUCCCUACCCCAGCUUCUCUUCUCUGGCUAAAUCCGUUCUGCUCUCAGCAGCAAGGCUGGGCCAGCGCAGACAAAGGCAGUGGAGAACCUCCUCCCUGCCUCCCCCUCCUUUUCCACGCACGCCCUUCGGCUGGGAUGAUACCGGUAAGUGGAUGUGUGGAACCCAGACAAGCAGGUCUCAUGUUUGCUUCUAGGUAGAGGGAUCAGACUUUGUGUCUGAAAUGGUGAGUCACACCAAGGUUCCGUGAGGGUGGGUCUCUCUCUAUCCACACACACACACACACCCACACACCCUCAGCUGGCCCCCAUGGCUAUGCAGGGUACCCUCUCUGUGGGCAGUGUCCUUUGCUAGGCACUGAGGGAAGUACAUCCAAGUAAGAUUCAUCCUCAGAUGUUUGCUGAGUACCUACCAUGUAGCUGGGUACCACGGAGAAUGAAAGUGCGCAAAAUUUAGAUUUCAAGUUGCUUAGCAUCUAGCUGGAGAAAAUAAAAGUAAAUACAAGGGGAGCUCAAUUUUUAUGUAAAUAUAGAAUCUUAGGUUUCUACUGAGAAUCAGAUUAUGAACAGAAAAAUAAAGACUUUCUGGGGACAGGACAAGACCUUAGGAAUCUGCCCCAGGAGAAGAGUAGAAUUGUGUCAAGCUGGGGCGAGUGGACUGGGGUAGUCAGGGCUACACCUGUGCAUUUCCCAUCACCACUGUGGGCCCAGAAAGAAGAGGUGCAGGACUAGAGUGUACGGCUGACCUAGGGCUGAGGACCUCUUGGGGGCCGAUAAGAAGGCCCUACUAGCAAUGGAAACCUUGGGGUGGGGUAGUUAAGACGGUGGUCCAGGCUGGGGAAGGAGGUAAGUGAUGGAAACUUAGAGGUUACAACAGGGAUAUAGUUGGUGAUUCUCAGAGAGAGUGGAACCCAGAGCUGUAGCGGCAAAGAGGAUGGAAGUACUGUCUGGUACAGGGAUCAAGGCUAACCAGAGAAGCAAGUUACUGCUCUUGGAAAUGAAGUUGAGACAACCCUAGAGGGAGGGGGGAAGAGUAAUGAGACAUAACUAUCUCCAAGUUAAACGAGCAGCUUCUGGCAUUUUGGGUUUUCCAAUCAGAGUAUAAAUAUUACCCUUGUAAUAUAAAAUCCAAAUGGUAUCUUCUCAGUGAAGCCUUUUUCAUCCUCAAAGGCUACGUCCUCUCUGUCUAAAGACACACUCGCUUCCGUAGCCUCUCCAGCAUCUACUAGGAAGUGUAGAAUGUUCCUCUUGGUUUUUGAGAUAUCUAGGUGUGUGAUCUGUUAGCCUCCGUGUUCAACCCUGGUUGGCAGAUUCGCAGGCGUCCUCCCCAAAGACCAGCACAGAGCCAGGCGCAUAACAAGAUCCCAGUAAAGGUUCCAGGAGUUAAUGUCAUGCUGUGCGGUGGGGGAGACCCGCGGCUGAGGGAGUUUUUCUUUGGGGGAAGAUUAAACAGUCUUAAGAAACAAAGUUUUCCAAGGGUGCCUACCAACAAGCUCAAAUGAAUGGGGAACUAAACACAGUAACUAUUGGUUGAAUGAUGGGUCCAAACAGAAGUUUACGGGAGGUUGAGCGGAGGGUGAUAGUCCUGGAGGUAACAGCUGCACCCUUUAGCCCAGAAGAGACGAGCAUGCGCAAAUAUGAGCAGGUGCACACCCCCCCUUCCCCAACAUGUAUACCUAUAGACUUAGGUGUCUGGCGAUGUUUCGUGUUUCUCCAUACGUCUGUUUCUCUUUGAGGAAGGGUAUAAAUAGAAUGGUAUCUUCAUGAUGCAAGUCUCACAUUUGCCUCUUGGCUCCUCCUUUUGUUUUAGGCUGUUGGGGAACUUGUCCUCACAGCCCAUGGGUCUAUGCCGGGGUGUGGUCUUGGAUGCACCAACAAUGAGUGGCUGUUUGCAUGGAAAGUACACCUCAGCAGUGGUAUGGUAAUAGAGAUCUCACCUAGACACACCCCAAAAUAUAAUCCCUCCAGAGUUAGUGAGCAUCUGCCCUGUUCUAGGCACUGAGGACUCAAAGAUAAAUCAGACGCGGUUUACCUAGAGCAGGUGGCAGACCCUGUGAAUGACUUCAAUAGUAGAUGGUGAGUGCUUUGAUAGAGUUAUUUGGAGGUUGUGGUAGCAGGUAGAGGGGGCUGUGAACCAGUCGGAAGGCACUGCUGAAUGCUUCCUAGAGGAGGCAGACCAGGCUCGGUAUUAUCUCCUCAGUGCACUCCUGGAAGCUGAGGUCAAAGAUACCCUCCCUUCUAGAGGUUUCCUGAUUUGGGAGAUAACUUUACCCAUCUCUCUGGCUCAGAGAAGUCUUCCUUCUUGAGCCCUUCCCCUCUACUCCUACCUACCUCUCGCUACACCAUUCCAUCGCACCACUAUUAUUGUGACAAAAGUUCAAAAGGGCCCAAAAUUGGGCAUUUAGGGGGAGAGCCCAGAGGUUGGUUCGAGGCACUGAGCAAUUUCUAGGUUCACGGGCCAUAGGAUAGGGUUCUGCUCUUGCUAUACCUCAAGGUCUUUGCGAGGUCUGAUCAGGCGGGGAAGGGUGGGAGUUACCAAGAACACCCCAUGUCUGCAGAGAGCCAGUGUGUCUACAGCAACAAAUAUUUAGGGAGCACCUACCAGGCACUUGGCCACCCUCUAGGCAGAGAGCGUACAGAAUGCAUCGGGGCCCACAUAGUCUCUUCUCCCUUGGAGCUUAGAUCCUCAUACAGAACAAGAGGUGAUAAAUACAUAUACGACCGAGAAAUAAGUAAAUAGCAUGGUUUCAGGUAAGUCAUGGAGGCUAUGAAGAAACAGCAACAUGAAUGUUUAACUAGGGUGGUAAGAGAAGGCAUCACUGAGGAAGAGAUGUUGGAGGUGGAGCUGGAUGAUGGCAAGAUGGUCAUACAAAGACCAUACCAGAUGGAUAGAGGCAGAGUAAGAGUGAGGGCAAAGGCCCUGAGACAGGGAUGGCUGUAAUGUAUUGCAUGAGCACUGAAUGACUAGUGCUCAGUGGCCCAGGAGCGCUGAGUUCAGGGAGGGGAGCAGGGACUGAGUCCAUGGGAGGUGCGGGCUGUAGAAGGGUCUGAGCUGGUAGUGACUUGGUCUAAGUUGCUUGAGAAAAGUCACCCAGACUACUCUAAGAAGGUGGGCUGAGCCAAGGCAUGACUCAGGGCUCCGGUUUUCUCCCUUGUCUUGGAUCCUUGUCAGAACCCAGAAAGCAUAUUUCUGUUAUAAGUUUUUAUUUUAAAUUUAGCCAGGAAGAAACCAACCUUGUGUAAGGUAGCCGUGAUACAAUUACUACUGCUGCGUGUAGAUCCCAUUACAUUGUAUUAUAUGUCAUGGCUUUUCUGGAAGAUUGUCUCGAUUUUAGAAGUAUACUCUUGGUCCAUCUGAGUAAAUUUGAUCUUGGUAGACCACACACUCCCACUUGAGGCCCAGAGGAGACAGGGUCACCCUGCUAGACCACACACUCCCAUUUGAGGUCCGGAGAGAGGGGCAGUGUACCAAGUGGGCUCCUGCAGAAGGAAUCCUCUUCUCUCCUUCUCCCAGGCAGAACUGCCACCUCAGGGGAGCCCUGCCAUACUGGUUAACUUGGCCUUCAUCCUUUCCUCCCACCUCUGCCCCUUGGAGUGCCUGGCUCCUCUGGAGUAUCCAGGCUGAUCAGUAAGAGUCACACAGGGCUGGUAGGUUCUGCCUCAUGGGUUGGAAACGAUACCUUUUAUUUCAUUUUCAGCUGCCUCAUGCCUAUAGCGGGGGACUUCAGAACAUGGAACAUAGCAUCGAGGCCACCCAGCAUUUCCAUUUUAUUUCCCUCUGCUUCCCACACUCCAGCCAGUCUGAACCCCUCAUUCCACUCACACCCACAGUGUCAUCCCUGUCUAUGCCUUCACUCAGCUCCAUCCCCCUGGACCCCGCUCCAUCUCCUUUUGGGAUCCAUUUCUUGGUGCUCAUUUUUUAAAGCCCAGGUCAUAUGUCAUCUCCAGGAAGGCACCUUAGAGUGUGAUAGCCCUUGUGAAAUUUCCCAUCACUGAGUAUUUGAAGCAUUUGCCCGGGCUCUGGAUUCAGACACAUCUGAGUUUGAAUCUCGGUGACUAGCUGAGUGACCUUGGGUGCAUGACUUGUCCUCUCUGAAUCUCAGUCUCCUUGACUCUGGGGUAAGGAGUCAUGGCGUUAUUGUGCCCAGAAGAUGAGAUCAUGCAGCUAAAGCCUUUAGACAUUGUGACUGUCCUACAACUGAUGCUCCAUGAAUGUCAGCAGUUAUUCCUAGCAGAGUCCCCUGUGCGUUUGUCUUUUUCCCUUUCUCCCUCUGAAUCCUGUAGGGCACAGACUGCCCUAUUCAUCAUCAUCUCCUUGGAGGUAUCUCACGUGGACCCUGGAUACCCAAGCUUUGCUUUUUGGACCUUCCUUAGGUGGAGGGUAGAGCCUGUCUCUUCCAGUCUUGCACUUCUGCAUAGCGACACUAGAGGGCAGCAAGAGACUACAGACACUUUGGAAGACAGGCAGGUCAUUUUGCCUGUCCUUCCUUUUGGUAUAGCCUGUACCAGGGAUGCGCCACCCGUUGUAGUUUCUUCUUGCUGGGUUUCUUGUGUGCUAGGAAAGUUCCAAAGGUACAUAAGCCAAGAGCUGAUCAUUGCAGUUCCUUCGGGGUGUUUUCCUCUCUCCCCAAGUUUGCUUUAGCUGAUUGAUUUACUAAAAUCAGCCAAUAUUUCCUGGUACUUAUGUCUCUGUUACCAGGUUUCAUGUUUUAAGUAUUAAAUGGGUUCAAGAAUCCAAAAUGCGGGAGUUCCCACCAUGGCUCAGCGGAAAUAAAUCCAUCUAGUAUCCAUGAGGUUUCAGGUUCAAUUCCCUGGCCUUGCUCAGAGGCUUAAGGGUCCGACAUUGCCAUGAGCUGCAGUGUAGAUCACUGAUGAGGCCCAGAUCCCACGUUACUGUGGUUGUAGUGUAGACAGGCAGCUACAGGUCCGAUUCAACCCCUAGCCUGGGAACUUCCAUAUGCCAUGGGUGCGGCCC